GGGCAUUUAGGUUGUUUCCACGCCCUGGCUGUUGUAUAUAGUGCUGCAAUGAACACUCUCUUGUGUAUCUUGAAAUGAGAAAUUCUUGGAGAAGAAGGAAGACAGGUAAACCAAUUUGUAUCUUAUUGUGUGAGUCAAGAAAGAGAUACUGAUACUUUGAACUAUGGUGCUGAUAUGAUACUUUGAACUAUGGUGCUGAUAAGAAAAUGGAAAGAACGAGAUAGAUUCUGGAGAUAUUUAAGAGAGUAAAGAUAAUUUGGUAAAGAAAUGUAUAAAUAAGCAGGAGAAAAAGUUAUCAAGGAUAACUUCCUAGCUUAUACAUCUAAAUGGAUGGAUGAUAAUGUUGUUCACAAUGACAGGGAGUUGUCGGGGCUGUAAUGGGGGUGGGGAAAGGAGACUAUGAGUUUGGUCUUAAUACCCAUUGGAAAGAUAUCCAGCAGGUAGUCAAUGUGUGGGUCUGGAGCUCAGAAGGGUCUGAAUUGGAGAUAUAACAAUGAGUCAUCUAUAUUUAAAUGGUAGUUAAAGCUAUAUGUGUAGGUGACAUUGUUUAGAGAAGGGACUGAGAAGAAAGCCUAUGACUGGCCCAUAAGGAAUUUGAAUUUUAAAUUCCUGGUUAGAGUUUGAGUCUCCAAAUGGUCAGAGAGAAAUGAUAUAAACCAGAAAGGUGUGAUGUUAUCAAAGCAAGAGAAUAAACUCUCAAAAGUUUAGGAAAGAGUCCAAAAUUUUCAAAAUUUGCUCAGAGUUAAUUAGAAUCACAAUCAAAAAGUGUCCAUUAGGAGUUCCCGCUGUUGUGCAAUGGGUUAAGAACCUGAAUGCAGCAGCUUGGGUCACCACAGAGACCCAAAUUCGAUACCUAGCCCAGUUUAGUGGGUUGAGGAUCUGGUGUUGCCACAGCUGAGCUGCAGCUUGGAGUCAAUUCCUAGCCUGAGAGCAUCCAUAUGCUGUGAUACAGCCAUUAAAAAAAAAAAAAAAAAAAAAAAAGUCCAUUAGAUUUAACGGCAUGGAAUUGCUGACCUCAGAAAAUUCAUUUUAGUGACACAACAGAGCUGGACAUAAAAUAGAAAAUAGUAGAAGAGUUUGAACGUUUGAAGGGAAUGGUGAAAUUCUGAACUUGUAAUUUUGGAGAAUGAAAGACUGAGAGUUGGCUAGAGAAACAGCGUAGGAUCACUGGGUAGUCUGAGUGCUCAUUUGAGAUUGCAGUUGGUAAAUUUAAAACUUGGCCCAUUGUGAAACUUCCCCUAACAAUCCCGAGCUACUUCAAUGCCAGCAGAUAACCUGGUUCAUCCAAGGUUGACAUGGAUCCGUGGAUCAAAAAGAGAGAUGAACCAGAAUUUGAUCUAUUGAAAAGGGAGUUGUUGAAAUGAUGUACACCAUGAACUCUAAGUUAGAUGGUAGAGGUAAGAGAAGAAAGGAAAAAGCUACUGGCUUGGAGAGUCAUACAUUCGUGUAGGGUACAUGGGUCCUGAUAUAAGAUCAAAGAAUCAUUGAUGUGGAAGUGGUUGAACAAGCAACAUAGGGGCGGAGACUGUAGUCAGAGUGAGGUAUUUGAUUCAAUGACUAUGGAGGUGGCACAGCUACAAGUGAUAAUCAGACCCAGGACCCAAGGGAAUUUGUGGCUGAAGAAGGGCAGGGGUCACUAGAGCGAGCCUUGGUUUGAUUCCAUCAAAUCUUUCAUUUGUGAUAGAUGGAAAACCCAAAUCAAACUGGGAUGGAGAAAGGGGAAUGCAGAGCUUUUGUUAUUAAAGGCUGAAGGGAUCCUUUAGCUUCAGGUAUAGCUCUCCUGACCUCAUCAGGAUCUGACUCUCCAUCUUUCAGCUCUGCUGCCCUCUAUGCGGGCUCCAUUCUCAGACAAGCUCGUCUCUGGUGGGAGCAAAAUGGCAGCCGGCCACUCUCACCAGGCUUUCAUCCUCACCAGUCUAAGAUGAGUAGAAAAGAACAAGUGUCUCUUUCCUAACCAUUUAAGCCAGAGUCCUGGACCUUGUUCUUAUUAGUCCAAAUUUGGCUUACAUUUCCAUCUUUGAACCAAUCAUUGUGACCGGCCAGACCUGAGUCUCAUCUCCACUUGGAAGACGGUUCAUCAGAGGAAAAAUGGGCAGUUGUUACCUGAAGAGUCAAUGCAGGCUGGCCAGUAAAAACAGAUGUCUGUCGUCAUCUUUUUUUUUUUUAAUUUAUUUUUUAUUGCUAUUUCCCCCAACACACUUUUUUUCCCCCACUGUACAGCAUGGGGACCCAAUGUCUUCUUCUACCGUGCUGAACAGGUUGUUUGUGAAGCCAUUCAGGUUGGUGGCAGAGUCUGGGCUUGCGAGGAAUCCUGUUAAGCCAGAAUCUUUGAAAGAGGAGGCAUGACCUGGCAUCAGUGACUUAAUGUGUGAAACAGGAUUUGAAGUGUUUGUAGAGUGCCUUUGGCUAGCCCUUCAGACUGAAAGAUCUUUGAGGGCAAAGGAUUUUGCAUCUCUGGUAGCAAGUAGUGGGCCUGACACUUCAGAGAACUUGUAAAUGAUGGAUGUGUGGAUGGAAGGUGGAAGGAUGAUUGAGCAAAGAAAUAAAACAACUGGGUUUGAAAAUAUCUUAGAUAGGAAUAGGCUCGGGGUAUUUGAUGGAAAAUAUUCAACAAAUGCCUUUUAAAAUAUCUCUUCAGAGUUCCUGCUAUGGCUCAAUGGGAUCAGCGGU
This 2670-nucleotide long non-coding RNA is filed under the name Sus scrofa (pig). RNAcentral describes it as "lncRNA (ENSSSCG00055012583.1)". Lineage: Eukaryota; Metazoa; Chordata; Mammalia; Artiodactyla; Suidae. The record is from RNAcentral.